RNAcentral lists this ribosomal RNA (483 nucleotides) under Triticum aestivum (bread wheat). RNAcentral describes it as "partial small subunit ribosomal RNA". Lineage: Eukaryota; Viridiplantae; Streptophyta; Magnoliopsida; Poales; Poaceae. The record is from RNAcentral.
AUGAAAGCACGGAGGCCUACGGCUGGUCACGGUCAGCUGUGGGAAGCAGGGCACGACAAAGGGCCUGAACCCGCCGGAGUCGGGACGAAGGCGAGCUCCGGUGACGGGACUUGGCGGCGGGGCCGGCCAGAACUGCUGGUGGUGGCGCCCGGCGUCCUAGGUGAAGCGGCGGCCGUGGACUUGGCUGAAGAGGACGGCUCGGGCAGGAGGCGCGAGCAUAGGGACUUGGCUGGCGGGGCUCCUCAGCGCAGGAAGCAGUGGGCGAUGGCGCUGGUCGCAGAGCAAGGCAAGGUCGAAGGAGCAGGAGAGAGCACGCAGGCGAACUUGAUGACGAGGGCCCUGGUCACGGGCGCGCGAGGAAGAGAAGAAGGAGGCCAUGGCAGGAGGCGCGGCGGCGCUCUCUGGCAGCUCGAGGCAAAGGUGAACGGCGGCGAGGAGGCUAACGGGCUCCGGCCUGGCUCCCUGGACCGAAGGAGGAGGUAG